GGGCGGGGUCCUUAACACAUGCAAGUCGAACGAACCUUCGGGUUUAGUGGCGGACGGGUGAGUACUCAGAAUCUGCCCUCAGGAGUGGGGACAACAGCUGGAAACGGCUGCUAAUACCCCAUAUGCCGCGAGGUGAAAUGAAUUUUGCCUGAUCGAUGAGCUCGCGUCUGAUUAGCUAGUUGGUGUAGUAAUGGCUCACCAAGGCAUCGAUCAGUAGCUGGUCUGAGAGGAUGAUCAGCCACACUGGGACUGAGACACGGCCAGACUCCUACGGGAGGCAGCAGUGGGGAAUUUUCCGCAAUGGGCGAAAGCCUGACGGAGCAACGCCGCGUGAGGGAUGAAGGCCUCUGGGCUGUAAACCUCUUUUAUCAAAGGAAGAAGAUCUGACGGUACUUGAUGAAUAAGCCACGGCUAAUUCCGUGCCAGCAGCCGCGGUAAUACGGGAGUGGCAAGCGUUAUCCGGAAUUAUUGGGCGUAAAGCGUCCGCAGGCGGCCUUCAAAGUCUGCUGUUAAAAAGUGGAGCUUAACUCCAUCAUGGCAGUGGAAAACUGUUUGGGGCUUUGAGUGUGGUAGGGGCAGAGGGAAUUCCCG
This 591-nucleotide ribosomal RNA is filed under the name uncultured cyanobacterium. RNAcentral describes it as "bacterial SSU rRNA". It matches the Rfam family "Bacterial small subunit ribosomal RNA", at positions 37 to 672 of the family's 1533-position model. The record is from RNAcentral. Lineage: Bacteria; Bacillati; Cyanobacteriota.